This 908-nucleotide long non-coding RNA is filed under the name Homo sapiens (human). RNAcentral's name for it is "non-protein coding SAMMSON:7". The record is from RNAcentral. Lineage: Eukaryota; Metazoa; Chordata; Mammalia; Primates; Hominidae.
GGGCAGACACACUGAAGUCGCUAGACAUUUGAGGAACACAUCCGGGGAAGAAGACACAGGUGGCUGGUCAUGGAGAGCCCGCUGGGGGAAGAGCACACAGACAGGCACCGGCAGGCCAUUGACCAGCGGGACAAGGUGGGCUCAAUGUCAUCACAAGGGUGCUUAAGAGGGAAAGAGGAAGCCAUGAGGGUCAGAGUCAAAGGAAGACUUGAAGAUACUACACUGCGGACUUUAAAGAUGAAGGAAGGGGCGAAAACCAAGAAUGUGGGAAGCCUCUAGAAGCUAGAGAAGGCAAGGAAACAAAUUUUCCACUAGAGCCUCCAGAAGGAACACAGCCCUGCUGACCCACUGUAAUGUCUGACCUCUAGAUGUGUAAGGGUAGUAAGACUGAAAGUCUCAGAAAGGCACUGUUAAAUUCUUAUUCCUCAACUAUGCAACUCAAAACUGGGGUCCUCAGCAGUGAGCGAGGGGUGAGAGAAGACACUGUAUAAACAUGGCACAUCCUCCUGGAAAGUCAACUUUACUCAAAGGCUGCAGGCCGUAUUAUGCUAAAUCAAGGAUACGGGGAGAUAAUUAACAUAGCAACUCUGGCAAUUUUAAUAGGUUCUUACACACAGUGACAGCUAGCAGAGUCUAAAAUGCUGACAUUAUGACUUAGAGAUGUGAUAAAGAGAAACAUCUAUUGCAUUUUCUGGCCCUGGAGCCAGACUGUCUGGGGUUUGAAAUCAGCUCCUCCACCUACCAGCUAUUGACCUCAGGUUGGGAACAUGACCUAAUGGUGUGCUACCAUGCAGCUCUUUCCAGCUCCAUGUUCAGUGACUUCAUAUUGGUUUCCACUUUUGCAUCUUGCUCACCUUCUCUUGCCACCACCAUGUAUGUCUUUAUCAGCAGCCUGAACAUGGACUAAU